This 381-nucleotide long non-coding RNA is filed under the name Cricetulus griseus (Chinese hamster). RNAcentral describes it as "lncRNA (ENSCGRG00000025581.1)". The record is from RNAcentral. Lineage: Eukaryota; Metazoa; Chordata; Mammalia; Rodentia; Cricetidae.
AGAUUCUAUUCUGUUUUGGAGGAAGGGUUGGACUUGAUUCUAUGAGGCACUGAGGAAGAGACCAGAGGAUGAGACGCGUGGUGAAAAGGCUAUGGUGCUACAAAAACAUAUAUGAAGCCAGUAUACCCUCAAGUAUACCUGCUAUUUCUCCAAAUACCACAUCUGGUAGCAUAAACCUAAAGACCCAUGGUAUCUACAUCCUAGUCCCUGGGACCGGGGAAUGUUAUCUUUUACGCUGUUGCAGAGAUGAAGUGAUUUGGCUAAGAAUAGUGUCAAGGGAUGAGAACUGAAGCAGUGGAAUCAAAAAAAUUACUCAUAUUUUAGACUACAACAAACAUGCAAUAAAGGAUACAAUUGUCAGGAAAGCCCCAAUGGAAGAUG